GCCCGCCUUAAUCAUCUUGUUAUCUGGAAAAAACAAACUUUGUUUUCUUGUGAUAACGAGAUAAAUUAUCCUAAAAUCUUAAGAAAACU
Melanotaenia boesemani (Boeseman's rainbowfish) is the source of this 89-nucleotide long non-coding RNA. RefSeq lists it as uncharacterized. The record is from RefSeq and is a predicted model, not a curated record. The transcript is spliced from 3 exons. Lineage: Eukaryota; Metazoa; Chordata; Actinopteri; Atheriniformes; Melanotaeniidae.